GGGCAGGUAGCUCAGUUGGUAGAGCAACGGACUGAAAAUCCGUGUGUCGGCGGUUCAAGUCCGCCUCUGCCCA
RNAcentral lists this transfer RNA (73 nucleotides) under Phycisphaerae bacterium. RNAcentral describes it as "tRNA-Phe". It matches the Rfam family "tRNA". Rfam says of the family: Transfer RNA (tRNA) molecules are approximately 80 nucleotides in length. Their secondary structure includes four short double-helical elements and three loops (D, anti-codon, and T loops). RNAcentral also lists the same sequence under 5 other names. The record is from RNAcentral. Lineage: Bacteria; Pseudomonadati; Planctomycetota; Phycisphaerae.